Molecule: transfer RNA, 77 nt
Filed under: Haloferula luteola
Lineage: Bacteria; Pseudomonadati; Verrucomicrobiota; Verrucomicrobiia; Verrucomicrobiales; Verrucomicrobiaceae
Description: tRNA-Met
Rfam family: tRNA
About the family: Transfer RNA (tRNA) molecules are approximately 80 nucleotides in length. Their secondary structure includes four short double-helical elements and three loops (D, anti-codon, and T loops). Further hydrogen bonds mediate the characteristic L-shaped molecular structure. tRNAs have two regions of fundamental functional importance: the anti-codon, which is responsible for specific mRNA codon recognition, and the 3' end, to which the tRNAs corresponding amino acid is attached (by aminoacyl-tRNA synthetases). tRNAs cope with the degeneracy of the genetic code in two manners: having more than one tRNA (with a specific anti-codon) for a particular amino acid; and 'wobble' base-pairing, i.e. permitting non-standard base-pairing at the 3rd anti-codon position.
Source: RNAcentral
CGCGGGGUGGAGCAGCCAGGUAGCUCGUCAGGCUCAUAACCUGAAGGUCGUAGGUUCAAAUCCUACCCCCGCCACCA